This 490-nucleotide ribosomal RNA is filed under the name uncultured bacterium. RNAcentral describes it as "partial 16S ribosomal RNA". It matches the Rfam family "Bacterial small subunit ribosomal RNA", at positions 30 to 507 of the family's 1533-position model. The record is from RNAcentral.
AUUGAACGCUGGCGGCAGGCCUAACACAUGCAAGUCGAACGGUAACAGAAAGCAGCUUGCUGCUUUGCUGACGAGUGGCGGACGGGUGAGUAAUGUCUGGGAAACUGCCUGAUGGAGGGGGAUAACUACUGGAAACGGUAGCUAAUACCGCAUAACGUCGCAAGACCAAAGAGGGGGACCUUCGGGCCUCUUGCCAUCGGAUGUUCCCAGAUGGGAUUAGCUAGUAGGUGGGGUAACGGCUCACCUAGGCGACGAUCCCUAGCUGGUCUGAGAGGAUGACCAGCCACACUGGAACUGAGACACGGUCCAGACUCCUACGGGAGGCAGCAGUGGGGAAUAUUGCACAAUGGGCGAAAGCCUGAUGCAGCAAUGCCGCGUGUAUGAAGAAGGCCUUCGGGUUGUAAAGUACUUUCAGCGGGGAGGAAGGGAGUAAAGUUAAUACCUUUGCUCAUUGACGUUACCCGCAGAAGAAGCACCGGCUAACUCCGUG